GAGCAAUUCAUAAUCGCUACUAGAAGCGACCCAUGGUUAAAAAAGUUCUAUACAUAAGAACUUUAGAUUUUCUUCCGCGGAGCUAUUCCCAACAUAUCGCACAUUUUCCAUUUGUUUUAUAUUCUUUUCUUAUUCUUAGUUCUUAAAAUAAAUUUUAUGCUCUUUUGAAACAUUUCGCGACAUGUUUAAGCAUGAAAGAUUCGCUGGUUUUUUUCCUUUUACUAUAGUCU
Molecule: unclassified non-coding RNA, 230 nt
Filed under: Hevea brasiliensis (rubber tree)
Lineage: Eukaryota; Viridiplantae; Streptophyta; Magnoliopsida; Malpighiales; Euphorbiaceae
Source: RNAcentral